This 415-nucleotide long non-coding RNA is filed under the name Fukomys damarensis (Damara mole-rat). RNAcentral's name for it is "lncRNA (ENSFDAG00000024071.1)". Lineage: Eukaryota; Metazoa; Chordata; Mammalia; Rodentia; Bathyergidae. The record is from RNAcentral.
UUCUCCACUUCCAUUGGCUGAUUCAGUUCUUAUACUCUCCAUAGGAAUUUCAUUAGUGACUGAGGCACAACUGAAUCUACCCUUCAGAACCACUAUCACCAUUUGUUCUCCGUCAGCAAGUGUCUAUCUUAUUUAACUUCAUAUACCCUGCUUUUGAGAACCUCAAUCAUAAGACAUUUAAGCAACAAAGAAUUGCUUCAAUCAACCUCAAGCACUCAUCAGGUCAUCAUUGGUUAUUACGAAAUGUAGAGAACCCAGGAAGGAGUGGUGGUCCAGAUCAGCCCAUGUGCAUCCAGAUAUACAUCCUGACCCAGAGGCUUGGGCAAACCUGCCCAACCAAGGUCUGCUCAGGAAACUGCUGCACAGAUGCCCCAGCUUCAGUGAGAAGCCUGCCCCGCAGAAUGGGUGAGUGUAC